GAUGAACGCUGGCGGCGUGCCUAACACAUGCAAGUCGAACGAGGCGCUUAAGUGAAUCCCUUCGGGGUGAAGCUUUAGUGACUGAGUGGCGGACGGGUGAGUAACGCGUGGGCAACCUGCCCUAUACCGGGGAACAACAGCUGGAAACGGCUGCUAAUACCGCAUAAGCGCACAGAGUCGCAUGGCUCGGUGUGAAAAACUCCGGUGGUAUAGGAUGGACCCGCGUCCGAUUAGCUAGUUGGUAGUGUAAUGGACUACCAAGGCGACGAUCGGUAGCCGGCCGGAGAGGGCGGACGGCCACAUGGGGACUGAGACACGGCCCAGACUCCGGCGGGAGGCAGAAGUGGGGGAUAUUGCACAAUGGGGGAAACCCUGAUGCGGCGACGCCGCGUGGGUGAAGAAGUAUUUCGGUAGGUAAAGCUCUAUCAGCGGGAAGAAAAUGACGGUACCUGACUAAGAAGCCCCGGCUAACUACGUGCCAGCCGCCGCAGUAAUAC
This 497-nucleotide ribosomal RNA is filed under the name uncultured bacterium. RNAcentral's name for it is "bacterial SSU rRNA". It matches the Rfam family "Bacterial small subunit ribosomal RNA", at positions 28 to 526 of the family's 1533-position model. The record is from RNAcentral.